ACGCUCGACACCUACGGGGAGGCAGCAGUGGGGAAUAUUGCACAAUGGGGGAAACCCUGAUGCAGCGACGCCGCGUGGAGGAAGAAGGUCUUCGGAUUGUAAACUCCUGUUGUUAGGGGAAAAAGAGGAUGGUACCCAACAAGGAAGUGACGGCUAACUACGUGCCAGAAGCCGCGGUAAUCUGAGCGGGCUGGCAAGGC
This 200-nucleotide ribosomal RNA is filed under the name uncultured bacterium. RNAcentral's name for it is "partial 16S ribosomal RNA". It matches the Rfam family "Bacterial small subunit ribosomal RNA", at positions 328 to 539 of the family's 1533-position model. The record is from RNAcentral.